Molecule: ribosomal RNA, 813 nt
Filed under: Microbacterium sp.
Lineage: Bacteria; Bacillati; Actinomycetota; Actinomycetes; Micrococcales; Microbacteriaceae
Description: bacterial SSU rRNA
Rfam family: Bacterial small subunit ribosomal RNA
Source: RNAcentral
CGGUGAAGCCAAGCUUGCUUGGUGGAUCAGUGGCGAACGGGUGAGUAACACGUGAGCAACCUGCCCUGGACUCUGGGAUAAGCGCUGGAAACGGCGUCUAAUACUGGAUAUGAGCCUCUAUCGCAUGGUGGGGGUUGGAAAGAUUUUUCGGUCUGGGAUGGGCUCGCGGCCUAUCAGCUUGUUGGUGAGGUAAUGGCUCACCAAGGCGUCGACGGGUAGCCGGCCUGAGAGGGUGACCGGCCACACUGGGACUGAGACACGGCCCAGACUCCUACGGGAGGCAGCAGUGGGGAAUAUUGCACAAUGGGCGGAAGCCUGAUGCAGCAACGCCGCGUGAGGGAUGACGGCCUUCGGGUUGUAAACCUCUUUUAGCAGGGAAGAAGCGAGAGUGACGGUACCUGCAGAAAAAGCGCCGGCUAACUACGUGCCAGCAGCCGCGGUAAUACGUAGGGCGCAAGCGUUAUCCGGAAUUAUUGGGCGUAAAGAGCUCGUAGGCGGUUUGUCGCGUCUGCUGUGAAAUCCCGAGGCUCAACCUCGGGCCUGCAGUGGGUACGGGCAGACUAGAGUGCGGUAGGGGAGAUUGGAAUUCCUGGUGUAGCGGUGGAAUGCGCAGAUAUCAGGAGGAACACCGAUGGCGAAGGCAGAUCUCUGGGCCGUAACUGACGCUGAGGAGCGAAAGGGUGGGGAGCAAACAGGCUUAGAUACCCUGGUAGUCCACCCCGUAAACGUUGGGAACUAGUUGUGGGGACCAUUCCACGGUUUCCGUGACGCAGCUAACGCAUUAAGUUCCCCGCCUGGGGAGUACGGCCGCAA